GUGAAUCAUCAAAUUUUUGAACGCAAAUUGCACUUUCUGGUAUUCCGGAAAGUAUGCCUGUUUGAGGGUCAGUAAAAUAAAAAUCGGUGCUGUUUCUGCCUUUCGUGGUUACGCGUCGGAAUUGAGUUGUCUUACCUUCGGUUAAGUGACUUAAAAUUUUGCAUGAUUUUCUGACGUAUUUAAAUUGCUUACGUACGCUUGGGAUAUCGAAUGCUUAUUACGUUCGGUCAUUCCCUUGGUUCUCGCCUA
This 249-nucleotide unclassified non-coding RNA is filed under the name Glomeraceae sp. Its description in RNAcentral is "partial contains 5.8S ribosomal RNA and internal transcribed spacer 2". The stretch from base 1 to 71 matches the Rfam family "5.8S ribosomal RNA", at positions 84 to 154 of the family's 154-position model. Lineage: Eukaryota; Fungi; Glomeromycota; Glomeromycetes; Glomerales; Glomeraceae. The record is from RNAcentral.